GGGGAUAUAGCUCAGUGGUUGAGCAUUUGCCUACCAUGCAUAAAGUCCCAGAUUGAAUCCCCA
This 63-nucleotide transfer RNA is filed under the name Ictidomys tridecemlineatus (thirteen-lined ground squirrel). RNAcentral's name for it is "Spermophilus tridecemlineatus (thirteen-lined ground squirrel) tRNA". It matches the Rfam family "tRNA". Rfam says of the family: Transfer RNA (tRNA) molecules are approximately 80 nucleotides in length. The record is from Rfam by way of RNAcentral. Lineage: Eukaryota; Metazoa; Chordata; Mammalia; Rodentia; Sciuridae.